CAGUAACACAUAUCGUACAAACACGUAACAAUAUAUGUACAUGCGAAUAUAUCACGUGAUAACAUCUUUAUAUAAUGUUAACAAUGAACAACAGUAUAAAGCGUUUACUUUUUAUUAGUAAACGUUCUUAUACAAAUACCGGUAGAGGAGUGCUGAAAGAAUAUGUGUAUACUAAAUAUAGAAUUAGUUUGCCUAUGUUAAAUAAUGUAAAAUAUGAUGACCUUUAUUUGUCAAGUCCCAGUAGAAGUGAGUUAUAUGUGUUUAAUAAAAAGAUUCCCAUAUUUUUAAGAUAUUUAAAAUUAAUAACAUCAUUAGAAAAUAGGAAUAAUGACUUUAUUGAAUUUGUGAAAAGAUGUGAAAAUGGAUUGAACGUAGAAAAAGAUGUUUAUUUAACAAAAGCAGAGCUAUUAGAACUAAUGUUUAUAAAUGGUUAUUUUAAAAAAGAAAUGAAUGCACUUGACUUAGCUUUUAAUAACAAUUAUGAGUUUCAUUAUCCAGAGAUAUCAGUUUUAUUUGAAUUAAAUGAAGAGGAUGUAUAUAAAUUUUGUUUAAAAAAAAGAAGUGAGAAUCCAGAAAAACUAUUUCAUUUAAAAAUUUUUAAAGAAAAAAAUAUGUUAUCAUCUUAUGGAUUAAUCUUUGUUUUUUUAUAUUUCGGUUUAAAUAAUGUAGUUUUAAGUAAUGCUUGGUUUUUGUCCAAAACGAUUCCAUUUUUUUCUGUUUUUUAUAUGCUCGCUUCUUAUUUUUAUAAAGACAUCUGGGAUUAUAUAAACAAAGAAAAAAAAUUGAUGAUUGAACAAAAUAUAGAAAAUAAAGAAAACGCAGAAGAUAUUAUUUAUAACCAAUUAAAGUUAUUUUCAAAAGAUACUAAAUGUAGUUCUAAUUUAAAAUAUUUCAAAGACUAUUGUGACGCAUUAAUAGAAAAUUAUAGGUCUGCGUAUAUACAUGAUCAAAAAAAAAAAAUAAUAGAAAAUUUAGAAAAAAAGUUACAGGAAAUAUAUAAUGUUGAAACGAGUUAUAAAAAGUCAUUACAAAAUAUAGUAAUAGAAGAAAUUAUUAAAAGAACAUAUGAAAAUAUAAAAAAUGAUACCAAUUUUUAUAAUUCCAUAUUAAAUGAUAGUAUUAAUAAUAUAAAACAUGUAAGCCAAAAUGAUACGCUAAUUAACCAUAUAAAAACAGAAUUAGGCCAUAUAAAAAAUUUAGAUAAACAAAACCCAAUCGUAAAAAAUAUACUCAAUCAGUACGAAUUGAAACAAAAAGAAUAUUUAAAUCAAUAUAUAGUUAAUAAAGAAGAAACAAAGAAAAUUAAAAAUAUGAUAACAAAAUGUAACUUAGAUUUAAAAAAAUUAAAUGAGAACGAUUAUAAUGAACUCAUAAGGUUAUACUAUACCAUCAAUAAUAGGUUUGGUUUUUAUGUGGAUGAUGUACAAACACCAACAGUGCUUACAAAAGAUGACGAUUCAAAAGGUGUAGCUGACAUAAUAAACAAAUUGAUAUCAGAUGCCAAUAAAUUACUCCAAGAAAAAAAAUUAGUAGCAUUCUUGAAGGCUUUCCAAUAAGCGCGCUCGUGCAUACGUGCUUAAUUUGAAUCUUAUCGGUAAAGUACAGUACAGUUGAGUAAGGUUAGGUACAGUUUUUUUUUUUUUUUUUU
Molecule: long non-coding RNA, 1648 nt
Filed under: Piliocolobus tephrosceles (Ugandan red Colobus)
Lineage: Eukaryota; Metazoa; Chordata; Mammalia; Primates; Cercopithecidae
Description: lncRNA (ENSPTEG00000011184.1)
Source: RNAcentral